UAAUAAGUGUUUUAUGGCACUUUUUGAAUCCAUAUCCACCUUGUGUGCAAUGUCAGUCGAUCUUCUUCAUGGAGAUCGACCAAACAUCAACCUUUAUCUUUUAACUCUUUGUCUGAAAAAUAUUAUGAAUAAAACAAUUCAAAAUA
RNAcentral lists this unclassified non-coding RNA (146 nucleotides) under soil metagenome. Its description in RNAcentral is "partial internal transcribed spacer 1". The record is from RNAcentral.